UACGUAGGGUGCGAGCGUUGUCCGGAAUUAUUGGGCGUAAAGGGCUCGUAGGCGGUUUGUCGCGUCGGGAGUGAAAACUCAGGGCUUAACCCUGAGCCUGCUCCCGAUACGGGCAGACUAGAGGUAUGCAGGGGAGAACGGAAUUCCUGGUGUAGCGGUGAAAUGCGCAGAUAUCAGGAGGAACACCGGUGGCGAAGGCGGUUCUCUGGGCAUUACCUGACGCUGAGGAGCGAAAGUGUGGGGAGCGAACAGG
Molecule: ribosomal RNA, 253 nt
Filed under: uncultured bacterium
Lineage: Bacteria
Description: partial 16S ribosomal RNA
Rfam family: Bacterial small subunit ribosomal RNA
Source: RNAcentral